RNAcentral lists this microRNA precursor (103 nucleotides) under Marmota monax (woodchuck). Lineage: Eukaryota; Metazoa; Chordata; Mammalia; Rodentia; Sciuridae. The record is from RNAcentral.
AGUGGAAUAGCUGGGUCAAAUGGUGGUUGCAUUCCCAGUUUUCUAAGGAAUCUCCUCACUGCUUUCCAGAGUGGCUGCACCAAUUUGCAGGUCCACCAGCAAC